UAAACAAGGGGUCAGCAAACUUUGUCUUAAAGGGACAGAUAGUAAAUCUUGUAGGCUUUGUGAGCCACACUGCUGUUGCAGCUUGCAAGCAGCAGUGUACUGUACACAAACAAAUGGGCAUGGCUGUGCUCCAAUGAUGCCAUUUACAAAACAGGCAGAGGGCUGGGUCUGGGCUUCCCCUGCCCUAACCUAAGCCCAGCUGGGCUUCAUUCAGCACGCUGUGUACCACUCUUGAUGGGUAGGCCCACUCUGCCCGCACCUUGAAACCUGACCAGGUCUUCUCCCACCCCAUGAAUGUAAACAUUUUAACAACUAGCCUGACUGUGAAAAGCCUGGAGAAUCCUUCCUACAGGGGACAGUGGUGCAAAGAGAAGCUGGACAGGCGCCCACACCUGGCUGGCACGCACACCUGUGUGCACCGAGGGGGAACUGACGAGCACCUGAAUUGCCGAGCCAGGCUGCAGUAAGUCAUUAGGAUCGGGGUGAGAUGCCCCCACAGGGACAAGGGAGGGGUGAGAAUCAGAGGGGUUUCUUUUCUCAGCUAAGAAAGGCCCCAGGGGCAGCCUCUGCCCCACAUGGCUCUCAGUACCAGCGAUGGGCAGGGUCCCUUCGUUCUCAUUGCGGUUUCCCCAGGGCUCCCACACCACCAGCUGCCUCUUCUAGAAACUCCCCAUCAGGCCUUCUCCCCCGCGAAUCUUGGUAACGUCCUUGCUGCCUCUCUCACACCCUCCUGUCCUCCUCUUCCUACAAACAUGCUCCUGUCUCCAUCCCACCUUGAAGAAACCCUUGGCCGAUACGGCACCCACCCAUGGUCCCAGGAUAACCCCUUUUCUUCCCUAGGCUAAUAAAACAGAGAAAGUAAGUGCAUCGGGCACUCCAGACCAAAGCCAUUUGCAGAAUGGAGUCACAGGCUGACAUCCAAGACUUUAGCCAGCUGGCUUCAGGCAGCAGAUGCAAAGGAGAGGUCAUGAGCAGGCCAGGCCCUGGCUAGGCAGGGGAUGCACUGGCUUCCCAGGCAUCCUGGGCACCCCCUCCAGGUGGCAUAGGGGCUCCCCAGCACUGAAGGGUGUUCAGCAGCCUGCAAACCAACUGACUCACAGAGCCCAGAUAGUGACGCCAAGACCAGCCGCUCCGGGGCCAACAUCAGAGCUGGAGAGCUGAGCCAGUGGCACGCCAGUCACUGAGGAAGGCCUCUUGUUGAUAAAGACAGGGCAUGAAUUCUUGGGGGGCUGUUACGUACCUUCCCAAAGGGAGAAAGAAACCCCUUGUUCAGUCACCGCACAGCUGUCUCUGGAGACAGGAGCACAAAGCUGCCUUCUGCCCAGGGCACUGCUUCCUUGGCAAGUGACCAGCAGCUGGGACCGCACGUGCCAAAGGCAGCAGCUGCCAUGUUUGACAAACUGGAACGGAGCUAUGUCCAAAUUAAAUCCCCCCAACCAGCCUCUGCCAUACUCCCUUUGGGGACAGGGGUGGUCGGUCGUUACGCUUGCAAAAUUCCAACAGCACCUAGAGUCCCAGGAAAUGGGGCUGCUGGCCAAUAGAGGUGGGACCCAGGGUGACAGGCCACAUGCUCCUUAGAGAGCCAACAGUGUUUCCUGAAUUCCAUGGGAGUUUGCCGAGGGGACAUGGAAGCUAGGAUUCCGGAACACCCGCUGGGAGCCUAGUCCUGGGCUAGGGGCUGCAUUUAUCAUUUCAUCCUCACAACUACUGUUGCAGUUUCGCCUAACAGAGAAGGAGACAAAACUAACCCGGUGGCCACGUGGCCGAAGGCACAGAGCCGUUGAGUGGCAGCGUGGCAUUUGAAUUCAGGCCGGUGAUGCUGAAGUCCCCAGGUCUUUUUUUUUUUGAUGCCCACAACAAUGUAACUACUAAUAGCCUGUUAUUGAUGCAGGCCUUACCAAUAACAUAAAUAGUUGAUGAACACAUAUUUUGCAUAUGUGUUAUAUACUGUAUUCUUAUCAUAAACGAGCCAAAGAGAAGGAGAUGUUAUUAAGAAAACGGUAAGAAAGAGAAAAUAUAUUUAGCAUUCAUUUAGCAGAAGGGGAUCACCAUAAAGGUCUUCAUCCCUGUUAUCUUCACCUUGAAGAGGCUGAGAAGGAGGAGAAGGAGGGGGUGGUCUUGCUGUCUUAGGGAUGGUGGAGGUAGAAGAGGCAAAGAAGGUGGAAGGGAAGGCAGCCACGCUCGGUGUAAGCUUUAUUGGAAAAAAUCUGCAUUUAUGUGGACUCUCACCAGGCAAACCCGUAUGGUGCUCGAGGGCCAACUGUAUUUCCACUACCGUCAUCCGCCUUGCCCAGGGUGACCUGAUUCACUGACGGGAGGGUUUGCCUUCCCAUGCGCAUCAGUUCAGCCUUCCCCUGAUGUCAUUCUUUUCCUAGUGGCUAACAGGCUGGAUGUGCAGUUGGGGACAGUCAGUAUCUGGGGUCUGGUGAGGACCCUCUUCCUGGUUUGCAAAGCAGGAAGAUGCCAGGCAUCUCUUUCUGUCCUGCUCAGUCAAGUGUGAAUCACAAAGCCUGAGUUCAGAUCCUCGACCUUGGGCAGGUGAACUUCACUCUUAUGAGUCUCAAUUUCUGUACCCAC
Molecule: long non-coding RNA, 2577 nt
Filed under: Homo sapiens (human)
Lineage: Eukaryota; Metazoa; Chordata; Mammalia; Primates; Hominidae
Description: HSALNT0245680
Source: RNAcentral